CCCUAUAAUGCAUUAAGUGAAGUUUAAAAAUUUUAAAAAAUACCUAACAAUUGAACUUUUGAUGAAAAUUUUGUUUUGAAAAAAAUUUGUGUAUUAAAAAUAAGUUUAACUCGUAUGAAUUUAGAAAGUUAAUAAAAAUACAAUUUUAAAUUCGUAAAGGUUAAUGGUCUUACCACAGAGCACCGCGGAUGAGCAUUUAAUAGGGAGUUCACGUCUUCUUCCUAACCUUCCUAAUGUCGCAAAACUUUCCAAGAGGUACUCGGUAAAAUGCGAACGCGAACUGAGAACUGGUAAUAUGCGAACUUUUUUGCGAACCAUCGUCCUAUUGGUUGUAAAUUUUUUAUUUUUAUUAUUUUAUUCAUAUAUUUGCCGUACAUAU
Hydra vulgaris (swiftwater hydra) is the source of this 379-nucleotide non-coding RNA. The record is from RefSeq and is a predicted model, not a curated record. NCBI's taxonomy places the organism in Eukaryota, Metazoa, Cnidaria, Hydrozoa, Anthoathecata, Hydridae.